RNAcentral lists this ribosomal RNA (760 nucleotides) under uncultured bacterium. RNAcentral describes it as "bacterial SSU rRNA". It matches the Rfam family "Bacterial small subunit ribosomal RNA", at positions 627 to 1386 of the family's 1533-position model. The record is from RNAcentral.
UGGAAACUNUCUGACUUGAGUGCAGAAGGGGAGAGUGGAAUNCCAUGUGUAGCGGUGAAAUGCGUAGAUAUAUGGAGGAACACCAGUGGCGAAAGCGGCUCUCUGNUCUGUCACUGACGCUGAGGCACGAAAGCGUGGGUAGCGAACAGGAUUAGAUACCCNUGGUAGUCCACGCCGUAAACGAUGAGUGCUAGGUGUUAGGCCCUUUCCGGGGCUUAGUGCCGGAGCUAACGCAAUAAGCACUCCGCCUGGGGAGUACGACCGCAAGGUUGAAACUCAAAGGAAUUGACGGGGGCCCGCACAAGCGGUGGAGCAUGUGGUUUAAUUCGAAGCAACGCGAAGAACCUUACCAGGUCUUGACAUCCCGAUGCUAUUCUUAGAGAUAGGAAGUUACUUCGGUACAUCGGUGACAGGUGGUGCAUGGUUGUCGUCAGCUCGUGUCGUGAGAUGUUGGGUUAAGUCCCGCAACGAGCGCAACCCUUAUUGUUAGUUGCCAUCAUUAAGUUGGGCACUCUAGCGAGACUGCCGGUAAUAAACCGGAGGAAGGUGGGGAUGACGUCAAAUCAUCAUGCCCCUUAUGACCUGGGCUACACACGUGCUACAAUGGUCGGUACAACGAGUUGCGAGCCGGUGACGGCAAGCUAAUCUCUGAAAGCCGAUCUCAGUUCGGAUUGGAGGCUGCAACUCGCCUCCAUGAAGUCGGAAUCGCUAGUAAUCGCGGAUCAGCGCGCCGCGGUGAAUACGUCCCCGGGCCUUGUNC